CUUUUUCAUCAUUAGGUCCCUCAAAUUUGUCAGCAAAAAUUAUCUUUAUUCUAACACUCCACCACACACACACACACACACACACACAAAUAAAUAACAAAGGCACUUUUAAGAGACACGUCCGUCUUGUUAACCUGUACCCAUCAUCUGUACUCUCUUCAGCUCUCUUUCUCGCUCCCCUCUGUCUCUCUUUGUCCCCCCUCCCUGUUUAUUUGUUUUAUUUGUCCAUCUCUUUAUUGUGAGUCUUUCUGUCUGUUUGUUUUUCUGUCCAUCACUAUGUCCAUGAGUGAUUCAGAAAUCCAAGAAAAUCUAAUGGUCUUGGAUAACUUGGUUGAUCAUCAAGAACUGAAGGAUGAGCUCCAAAGUCUUGAGGACUUUCUUGGUGAGCUGCAAGAAGAGGAGGCGGCAGCAGCACCAGCAAAGACACCUGAGCCAAGGCAACCAAGGGUGCACUGGAGAAAAAGAGACGUGCAUGGAAAUAUUGUCUAUGCAAGGCCGAGAUCAAGCAGGGAUCAGUCAAAAAGGGCUGAUCACAUUCAGAACAUUGAUCCUCCCUUCAAUGCUCCUGACACUAACUGUGAGGUGGCCUUUGCUCCAGAGACUGUUGAGUGUUUUCUACAAGAUCUCCAGCACUCACUGAGCGAUUCCUCAGGUGAUGAGGCAUCACCUCUUGGAACCCCAAGAGAUCCUCUUCUGGCAUCCUCGAACUGAAGCAUAAGUCAGAGUCUCUUUUCAGAGAGGUGGAGGGCAGAGAGACCCCGUCUGGUAAACACGGCUGCAGCAAAAGAAAGUGUGGCAACACACAUCUGCCAACAGUGUUGGAGCAGUCCAGCAGUUAUCCGGUGCAGUGACUGUCGACCACGCCCCUUCUUCUGUGCUGAAUGUGACAUCAGCAUGCACACCAGACAUGUCCUCCACAAUAGAGAUGCCAUGACUGCUGGAUUCUUCCAGCCAUUGCCUCCAACAACUGUCGUGGUGGAUAAAGCGCUUUCCCAAUGUGGCAUACCAAGCCACUUGGAGUGCUGCAGUGGCCGACCUAAACAGCAGUGACUACUGGCCGGCAGCUCUUCAGUUUGCCACAAUUUAUACUACCGAUAUAUUUUUCUCAUUCGAGGAAAUGAAGAUGGUGGCACCAGGACUGUCCUGCCAAGCAUUUUUAAGAAUGCUGGAUCAGUGAACUUGUUCGCUUUGGUCGUAUCUGAGGAACAGGCCAUCUUUGAAGGCAUCUUUAUAGCCAAGGAUGAAGAUGUUACAAGAUUUGUGGACCACAUUCACAGCACAACCAAACAUGUUAAAGUGUAUAUGAUGAUAAAUAAAACUACAAUACUACAGUAACCUCUUACUGAAGAGUUUGUUUAGAAGAGUCUUGUUUUCAUUGACCAUUAUCCAUUGUAGGUCAGUGGGAGAGGUGUUUGGGGGGAGUGGUCAGCAGCCAGAGAGACCUCCCAAAGAUCUGCCAGCAAGGUAGAUGAAGAGGGAUUGGAGCUUGCGGUUUGUCGGCACGGAGUGCUGCUCUGUGCUUUAAAUAUGUACAGGGGUGACAUUUUUGCCUAUCCCCUGUACCUUCAAGAAAAGCUGGCCAGUAGGCAAGUCACUUUUUUUGUAUGGAUGUGACCUGCAAAUAUUGGCCCUACCUGCAAAGAGUUGCAAAAAGCUGCCCAGAGCUCCAGCACCUCCUUAACAUGAGGCCAUUCCUUUCGGUAUUUCAUGCCAAAGCCCAUGAUUUUAAAUGUGAGGUGAAAUGGAGUGGGGCGUAUGAGGAUGGGGCUGGACUAACACUAGGGGAGGAGGUGGAACAGUGCAAUGCCUUCCUCUCUAGGAUUGCAGUGACGACAAAAGCAGGACGCACAGACAUGCUGACUCUCAUGGCCAUGCGCUGGAAUCAGCAAAAGUUCCGAAAUUUGGCAAUUUCACUGACUCGCCAAUAUCAGAAGAUUCACCAUGUGGCUUAAGUGAAGAGGGUUUGAAAGGUCUGCAGAGCAUCAUCCUCAGAAAGCAACAAAGUCAGAGAAAUGAAGGUGCAAGCAAGAGACUGUUACCUGCAAGUUUUGUCUGGAGAAGGCAACAUCAACUUUUUGUACAGUGCUUCAGCUGAUGAGUAUGACAGUGACUGUGAAAUGUCUGAUGACGGACUGUAAUCCACAAGACUGUGACACAUUUCAUCGUUCUGGACAAUGACCUUAACUCUGGAUAUAAAGAAUGUAAUAAAAUCUGCUUUUCAUCACCUUUAUAAAUGGAACCAAAAGUAUUGCCUCUUCUUUCACAUACAUAGAAAUGUGUGCAUGCAUGCCUCUAGAACCAGUAUGUGGUGGAAAUUAAGUGCAUUAAUUACUUAGAGAUUUGAGGUAUGAGUUGUUUCUUCUCAUCCAAAUUUUUACUUAUACUCCACUGCAAUUCAGAGAGAGAAAAAAUGCACUUGACAGCACAUGGAGAGCUUAUAAAAUGACAUUUUGUUGCAAAAGAAACUUCUCAACAGUACAAUUAGUUGAUUGGCAGAAAAUGAAUUGCCAAAUAAUUUUCAUGCAAAAACAUUUAAUGGUUCCAGCAUGUAUUUUUUAUUUGAGGUUUGAACUGUUCACAGCUUUUAUCAAUGUAUCUUAUCUUUUUUGGGUUGUGUGUAAUUGUGUCUGUAUUUCUCAUUUUCAUACUUGCUCACAAACCAAACUCUUCAUUUGUUGAGAAAUAAAUAGCAGAUUAAUUUAUUAUGAAAAUAAUCAUUAGUGUAGGUUGUGUACAAAAUAAUUAAUAAUAAUCUUCCAUGAGUAAUAAUAAUCUAAGGUUAUAUGAUUCACAGGGGAAAAUGAAAUAUUAGAAAACAGCUUUCGGCUGUGAAAGUGUAGAGUGUACUUUAAAUGUAGGGUGUUAUAUAACAACUGAAACCUUUUUAGAGACAUAGAAGAAGCAAAUUAUGAGGAAGAAAACCAUUAUGAUGAGGAAUCAUUAUUUCCCAGUAUAAUAUUACAUCUGCUUAUGUGUCAUCUAGUAAAAGUAUUGGAGUCAACUGAUUUGAUUCUGUGGUCAAAACAUUUCACCACUUGUGUAGCUUCAUCAGCUGUGACCUGAUAAACAGCAUGAUGAUAGCAAUUUUGAAGUCCCUUUUUAUUUCUAUUGAAUCCAAUUUGUCUUUAUACUAUUUUAUAAAGUAUCUUUAUUCUAUUUUGUAGUCUACAAUAAAAUGAUUUACAUGGUGUAUUGUAUAAUAAAUUAUGUUAAUUGUUUUGAAAAUAAAAAAUGCACUAUAUCAUCUUA
Molecule: long non-coding RNA, 3249 nt
Organism: Cyprinus carpio carpio
Lineage: Eukaryota; Metazoa; Chordata; Actinopteri; Cypriniformes; Cyprinidae
Source: Ensembl